CCCCUAGAUGUUCUGGGCCGCACGCGCGCUACACUGAACAGUUCAACAAGUCUUAACCUUGGCCGAUAGGUCUGGGUAAUCUUUGAACGCUGUUCGUGAUUGGGAUAGACCUUUGCAAUUAUGGGUCUUCAACGAGGAAUUCCUAGUAAACGCAAGUCAUCAGCUUGCAUUGAUUACGUCCCUGCCCUUUGUACACACCGCCCGUCGCACCUACCGAUUGAAUGGUCCGGUGAAAUCUCGGGACGGCGGCUUGGUCGCUUGCGUCCGACUGCUGAAACUUGAUUAAACCAUAUCAUUUAGAGGAAGGUGAAGUGGUAACA
This 320-nucleotide ribosomal RNA is filed under the name uncultured eukaryote. RNAcentral describes it as "partial 18S ribosomal RNA". It matches the Rfam family "Eukaryotic small subunit ribosomal RNA", at positions 1470 to 1796 of the family's 1831-position model. The record is from RNAcentral.